Molecule: unclassified non-coding RNA, 300 nt
Filed under: uncultured Entoloma
Lineage: Eukaryota; Fungi; Basidiomycota; Agaricomycetes; Agaricales; Entolomataceae
Description: sequence contains 5.8S rRNA gene
Rfam family: 5.8S ribosomal RNA (bases 1-53)
Source: RNAcentral
GAACGCACCUUGCGCUCCUUGGUAUUCCGAGGAGCAUGCCUGUUUGAGAGUCAUGAAAUUCUCAACCUAUCUUGCUUUCACAAGUUUAGUUAGGCUUGGAUUUGGAGGUUGCUGGUUUCUCAGAAAUCAGCUCUUCUUAAAUGUAUUAGCAGAACCUUUGCUGAUUGUCUUUGGUAUGAUAAUUAUCUAUACCAUAGAAAAUUGGCGUCCUUCUUGGGAAGGUUUCGCUUCUAAUUGUCUAUUAAGACACUUUUGACAAUUUUGACCUCAAAUCAGGUAGGACUACCCGCUGAACUUAAG